AAAGGAUGAAGACCCACCAUGACCCGAUGUCCCCAACAUCCUCAACUUCCUCAAUGUCUUCGAUGUCCCCAACGUCCCCAACCCAAAGGACCAAGACCCACCACAGCCCAACGAUGUCCUCGAUGUCCCCAACGUCCUCGAUGUCCCCAAUGUCCCCAAUGUCCCCAACGUCCCAAAUCCAAAGGACCAAGACCCAUCAUGGCCUGAUGUCCCCAACGUCCCCAACGUCCCCGAUGUCCCCAACUCAAAGGACGAAGACCCAUCGUGGCCUGAUGUC
This 277-nucleotide long non-coding RNA is filed under the name Anas platyrhynchos platyrhynchos (common mallard). RNAcentral describes it as "lncRNA (ENSAPLG00000027823.1)". Lineage: Eukaryota; Metazoa; Chordata; Aves; Anseriformes; Anatidae. The record is from RNAcentral.